UUACGGCCAUAUCACGUUGAAACACAGGUUCUUGUUUGAUCACUGAAGUUGAGCAAUGCCAAGCCUGGUCUGUACCUAUAUGAGUGACCUCUUGGGAAUACCAUGUGCUGUAA
Non-coding RNA from Acanthosepion pharaonis, 113 nucleotides. Lineage: Eukaryota; Metazoa; Mollusca; Cephalopoda; Sepiida; Sepiidae. The record is from the annotation of a GenBank genome assembly.